This 238-nucleotide ribosomal RNA is filed under the name uncultured bacterium. RNAcentral's name for it is "partial 16S ribosomal RNA". It matches the Rfam family "Bacterial small subunit ribosomal RNA", at positions 1263 to 1500 of the family's 1533-position model. The record is from RNAcentral.
UAGAGCAAAUCUCAAAAAAACAAUCUCAGUUCAGACUGCAGGCUGCAACUCGUCUGCACGAAGUCGGAAUUGCUAGUAAUCGUAGGUCAGCAUACUACGGUGAAUACGUUCCCGGGCCUUGUACACACCGCCCGUCAAACCAUGAGAGUUGGCAACACCCGAAGUCGGUAGUCUAACCGCAAGGAGGACGCCGCCGAAGGUGGGGUUGAUGAUUAGGGUUAAGUCGUAACAAGGUAAC